Molecule: long non-coding RNA, 5480 nt
Filed under: Nicotiana tabacum (common tobacco)
Lineage: Eukaryota; Viridiplantae; Streptophyta; Magnoliopsida; Solanales; Solanaceae
Description: long non-coding RNA (NTAB_LNC013823)
Source: RNAcentral
AUUUUAAAUUAACAACAUAGGUUAGAAGUUCGUUAUCCAAAUGACUGAUUUUGACAAGAAUUGGCCUCAAAUUACUACUGCUUAAUAUUUAUUAAAGACACCCGUCUAAUGUAGACAUGGCAAAAUGAUUAAAAAUAAUAAUUAUCCACCCAAUCCAACUCACUAAAAAUGGGUUGGAUAACUGACUUUUUAAAACCGGGUCGAAUAUGGAUAAUUAUCCAUAUUAUCCACUAAAAAAAUGAAUAACCAAAUGGGUAACCAAUGGGUAAAAUAUGGAUGAUAAAUUUUAAAGCUUUUCAGACCUAUUAGAAUUCACUCGCUACUAUCGCUAUUUUCACCACUUCAAUAGAAAACCCCUAAAUUCCCAAUUCCUCAAAUUUCUCCCCUUCUUCCCAAAGUAUCGUCGGCAACUUCUCCGGUGAGUUCCAUCUUCCGAUAAUUCUCUCCUCUCUCUGACUUCUUCGCUUUCUUCUUCUGACAUUGACCUAUCCAGGAGGAGUAAGCUUCAAUUUCCUUUCACAAGAUUUUGGUUAGUCGGAACUCGAAAGUUUUUUGAAAUCCCAGUGGGCAAACCAAGAGUGUAAAAGUUAAUGUUGAUGAGACUACCUUUGAGCAAAAUGAUUUGCUUGUUAUGAUUUUGUGAAAACGGAACACCUACCAGGAGUAUUUAAAGUUUCAAACAAGAGUGGAAGUGUUACAACAAUCUCAAAGGUGAGAAAAACACUAAGUAGACUAAGAUUAGAUGUAAUUCUUAACUCCAGGGCACUGCAUUUUCUAUUACUUAUUUAAUAAAUUGAUUUAUAUCAAGCCUAAUUCAUACUGUUUACUUCAUCUUUAGAUAGAGAUGUCGAUGGAAGGUAUUGCUGAUUCUUGUGAACAGAGCUCUUCAAAUACGCUAAAACGAUCAAAAAGACAAAUUUUCACUAUUUGGGUCUUUUGUGAAGGUAACAGAGCCUAGUAUUUCUAGUUAUAGAAAGUUUAAAGUCCAAUGUACGCUUUGUAAAAACCACUACAUACACGAUCCUAAAUUUGGAGCAUCAAAUUUGAAGCGCCAUUUGUUGAUAAAACAUCCGUUGAAUAAUGCAAAAGAGGGUCAUAAUGAACCGAUAGAUCAGAAAGUUUAUCGAGAGAAAAUAUCAUUAGCCAUAGUCAGGCAUAAUUAUGCUUUUAGUUUGUAGAACAUAAAGGCAUCAGGGACCUUCAUUCGUAUUUAAAUCCAGUAGCGAAGCACAUAUCAAGAAACACAACCAAGUCAGAUAUCUUGAAUAUGUAUGCAAGCGAAAAAGAACUUUUAAAAAAUGAGCUUGCAUUAUUCCUAGUAGAGUGUGUUUAACAUCAUAUAUGUGGAUUUCAUUAGCAUCUAAUGGCUACAUGUGUGUAACAACUCAUUAUGUGGAUUUAAACUAGGUUCUUCAGAAGAGGGUGUUGAUUUUUCGCCAUGUUCCUCCUCCACAUUCGGGUGCGAUUUUAGGUCCCUUAUUGAUUAACUUUCUUAAAGAAUGGGAAAUCGAAAAGAAAAUCUUUACCCUUACUUUAGAUAAUGCUGCUUACAAUAAUGUUGUAGUGAAUAGUUUAAAGAAUCAUUUUUCUUUGAUGCGUUCACUAAUUUGUGACGAAAAUUUUUUCCAUGUUCGUUGUGGGAAUCACAUUUUGAACUUAAUUGUUAAGACGGGCUUAGAGAAGGCUGAUGCAGCUAUUGCGAAAAUUAGAGAAGAUGUUAAGCAUAUCAAGAAUUCAAAAAUAAGAAUAAUAAAAUUUGUGGAUUGUCUUAGUAAUAUUGGUCUACCAUGUUCUAAGAAGCUACGCCAAGAUAUGCCUAUUCGGUGGAACUCCACCUACCAAAUGCUUGAAAGUGCUCUUCUUUAUCGGCAAAUUUAUAUUCACUAUAACUUGCUUGAUAUUGAUUUUAGACAUGGUCUUUCUGAAGAUGAAUGAAAAAUGGUCGAGAAUAUAGCUAAGUUUUUAAAGCUAUUUUAUGACAUUACGACCUUGUUUUCUGGAUGUAAAUACCCAACGGCUAAUUUGUAUCUUCCUAAUGUAUGGUGAAUUGAAAUGUUGUUGGAAGAACAAAAAACAGUGGAGAUUCAGUGAUGAGUGAGAUGGACACUUUGAUGUUGGGAAAGUUUAAGAAAUAUUAAGAGUCAUAUAGUGUCAUUUUAUCUAUAGCUAUUGUCCUUGACCCUCGAUAUAAAUUGAAGUUUGUUAAGUUUUGCUUUUCCAAGCUUCAUCCUAAGGAGAUUGCUAAUGAAAAAGUGAAGGCUAUUGAAGAGAACUUACAAUUAUUGUUCAAAGAAUACUUGAUACCUUCGACUACAACCUCGUUAUUGGGGGAUCAUGCUUGUAGUAGUGGUAUCAAUAAAAUGAGGGAUGCAUUUGAUGAGUUUGAUGGGUUUGAAAGUCAGUUGGAGUCAAGUACCAGUAAAAUACAACUGGACUUGUAUUUGAGGAAGCUAAUCUUGACCGUAAAAUAAAUCUGAAUCUGGAUGUACUUGGAUUUUGGAAGGAUAACAUGCAAAGGUAUCCAGAACUCUCAUUAAUGGCACGAGAUAUCUUGAGUGUUCCAAUCACCACAAUAGCCUCUAAAUCUGCAUUUAGCAUAGGUGGUCGUGUCAUUGGAAAGUUUCGAAGUUCUAUUCUCCCCGCAAAUGCCGAGGAAAAGCUAUGUAUUAGGGAUUGGAUUUGUGGAAGAGAAGAUAAAUUAAUCUUCUCUAGAUUGGUUUAUUUUAUUUUCUGAAUAACUAAUAAACUGUAAUAUUUUAUAUUUUUUUCUUUUUAAAUUGUAUAAGAUCUUGAUGAUGGAUCCGACUCUGAUGAAGAAGAUGAGAUGCUAUUGAUUUUGAACCUUAUCUUGCGAAACUUAGAGGUAAGAGGACCCUCUGUUGUUCUCUUUUUAAUUUCUUGUACUUUUGGGUUUCUAUUGAAUCAACUAUUCUAAUAUUUAUGAUGAUCUGCUGCCAAGAAAAGUACUGUAUCUGAUGAUAGCCACUUUUGAUUGUUGGCCAUACUAUUUUACUUGGUAAUUGGAUGUGGUAUUUCGAUCAAAUGUUGUGCUUACUGGUGCUAGUUUAAUAUUUCUAGUGUUCAAUUCCUUUGUGACUAAUCCCACGAGCAUACGCUGACUCCUUGACAUUAGCCCAUGUUGUCUUGUGCUUCAUCUUAAAACAAGUUGUACACUUGUUAUAGAGAAAGCAUUUUCUAGAAAUACUGCUAAUAGUCCUAUGCAAAUAAGAAGCAAAACAAGUGACUUAUGAGUAAAAUAAAUCAUGGUUUCUUCUAGUGUAUGGGAGAAAAUAGAAAAAAUGGGCAGCCUUUAUAUCAUUAAUAUGAGCUUUUUUAGUUUUGAAUCGAUUUUUCAUAGAAGUGCAUUUGGUUGGAUUCUGUAUAGUUGAGAAGAAAUUUGGUCUCAGUUUUUGGUUUAGCAUGAAUAUUGAAUCUUAUUUAAAUAAAAAUUCAACAUAUUGCAGUCACUUCUUUCUAUAUACUUUAUAUAUUUGGUUUAUAAGAAAGAUAAUUGAGGUUGGCACUACUUAACUUUUCCAGCCACUUCAUGUGUCACAGCCUCCUCUGUCACCCUUUGUGUCACAUGAGAGUAUUGAGGUUGAUGAUUACCAUACUAGGAUUAAUGUUAGAUCCAUAUCCUUGAAUAUUUUCUCGAGAGAGGAAUCAGAGCAUAUUCUUAGAGAGUUUAGAGGUAGGAUAACUCAUCUGAAUUCUUCUCUCAUGCAAUUAUCGCUAUCAUGAUUCGUGCACCCGGACUUGGAUGAAACCUGCAGUAUUCAGUCUCUCUAGUGCCACUAUGGAGAUACUACAUAAUUUUCAUAUCAAUUUUUUUGGUAAUCAAGAGACUUCUAUUAUCUAAAGUACUCUACAUCACUACUAAAAAGGAUAGAAAUUCAACUAAGUAGCUUUCUUUCUAACUUGUUAAUCACACUGUCUCUAACAAAGAUCUCUUGAAUGAUCAUCUUGAUGAUUCUAUAUGAGGUAGUUGUUGCAUUUAAGAGAAGGAUAUUCAUUCUUCUUUAGUUACAGUCAAGAUGACUGAUAUUGUGAAAUGUAUCAUACCUACAUUGUUUUUUGGAAUUCUGCAGCAAACUUCAAUAUCUAAAGAAUGGGUGUAAAUAUCACGAAGCAUCUCCUAUUAUCUAUUUUAAGGUGCACUAUUUUUUAUUCCUGCUAGUGCAUUUCGAUGUAUUUUGCUGGUGCAUUUUAUUGUAUGUUGUAGGUGCAUUCAAUGUAUUUUGUUAUCUGAUUUAAAGCGCAUCAUUCUUGAUUCCUGCUAGUACAUUUUAACGUAUUUUGCUGGUGCAUUUCAGUAUAUAUUGCUGGUGCAUUGAAUCUAUUUUGUUGUCUUGAUACUUACUUUUUUCUCUUGGUUGCAGUGAUUAAAAAAAAAAGGAACUACAAUGUGAACUUGCAGAUGAUAAAAUGGAUUAGGGAACGUGAAGAUGAAGAGAAUGGAUGAGAGAAUUUUAGUGAAUUGAAGAUGAAGAGUUUUAGUGAACUUUGUAUAUUUUUUAUAUUUAAUCAUAGUACUCAGUUAGAAAAAUUAAAGUCACAUAUUUUGAUAUUGUUUAACUUUCUAUAAAUAUUACCUUAUCAGAAAGAAAUUGCUAUAAAUAUGUGAACCAUGUAGCUAGGAACUCAUUACAAAUUAUUGAAAAAUUAUUUCAUUAAUGUUCUUCUGUUGCAAGUGGCAGCAAAUUUAUAUUAGAGCUUGAGGCUAAUGUGAAGCCAUGGAUGGAUAAUACGAUUACUCAUUUUAUCUGUCGGUUAAUUCAUUUAUUAUCCGUAUUAAAUAUGGGUCGGGUCGGAUAAUUUAUCAUUUUUUUCAUUACCCGUUUUCGACUCGCCCCAUAACCGACCCGACCCGCCCGUUUGCCACCUUUACUCUAAUGUAUUAACACAAUAAACUAAAUUGUGCCCCCAUUUUUUAUAAAAGAAAGAUAAGAAAAGCCGAUACAAAAUUAAUGCAAACAAAAUAUAAGCAAAUUUAAGUGAGAGGAAACAUGUACGGAGAAAACAUUUUCAAGCAAGAACAAAAUAGAGCCCAGGUGCUAAUUGAUAAACAGAGAAAAAUGAAGAACCUUAAUAUUAAACUUUCAACUUUUGAUUUUUUGACUGAUGAUUUGCUCCAAAACAAUAUGGAAUCGCGGAGGAGACCUCAACGGAAAGACACACAUUGUGGACCUCGAACUUUUGCUAAAACUCAAUCGACCUCAGCCGAAGCUUCGUUUCAUCGGUAAAAAUAGAGGGUAAAAGUGUCUACUUUUGUUCUGUUUUAUGGUUGUCUUGUGAGUUGGUUUUGGAUGUUAAAAGGGGUAAAAGAAACUGAUUUUGAUGGAGCUUGGGAUGGGAUUUUGGCUAGCCUUUUCGACGCUUUCUUCUUGCAAAGGAAGAAGACGGGAGUUUUUUUUCUCUCUUUGUUUUCAACGUCUCCCUCCCAGGUGCCCUCUAUCUCGUCCCCCCCAGAUAUGCCUCAC